Molecule: ribosomal RNA, 496 nt
Filed under: uncultured bacterium
Lineage: Bacteria
Description: partial 16S ribosomal RNA
Rfam family: Bacterial small subunit ribosomal RNA
Source: RNAcentral
AUGAACGCUGGCGGCGUGCCUAAUACAUGCAAGUCGAGCGAACAGACGAGGAGCUUGCUCCUCUGACGUUAGCGGCGGACGGGUGAGUAACACGUGGAUAACCUACCUAUAAGACUGGGAUAACUUCGGGAAACCGGAGCUAAUACCGGAUAAUAUAUUGAACCGCAUGGUUCAAUAGUGAAAGACGGUUUUGCUGUCACUUAUAGAUGGAUCCGCGCCGCAUUAGCUAGUUGGUAAGGUAACGGCUUACCAAGGCGACGAUGCGUAGCCGACCUGAGAGGGUGAUCGGCCACACUAGAACUGAGACACGGUCCAGACUCCUACGGGAGGCAGCAGUAGGGAAUCUUCCGCAAUGGGCGAAAGCCUGACGGAGCAACGCCGCGUGAGUGAUGAAGGUCUUCGGAUCGUAAAACUCUGUUAUUAGGGAAGAACAAAUGUGUAAGUAACUAUGCACGUCUUGACGGUACCUAAUCAGAAAGCCACGGCUAACUACGUG